CUCUCCGUCUUUGGGGAGUAGCCUGCUUUCCGCCCCCGGAAAGCGAACGCGUCAACACACUCGGCUUGCGGCCGUGGCGCGUUCGGCCUGAUCGGCUUGGCGAGACCAUCGGCACAUCGCGUCGUUCCUGGUCGGACGUCGGCGGAUGUGUCAUGGUUCGUCAGCGUC
Molecule: non-coding RNA, 168 nt
Organism: Burkholderia cenocepacia J2315
Lineage: Bacteria; Pseudomonadati; Pseudomonadota; Betaproteobacteria; Burkholderiales; Burkholderiaceae
Source: Rfam